Molecule: ribosomal RNA, 716 nt
Filed under: Halobacterium sp. BAB-3003
Lineage: Archaea; Methanobacteriati; Methanobacteriota; Halobacteria; Halobacteriales; Halobacteriaceae
Description: bacterial SSU rRNA
Rfam family: Archaeal small subunit ribosomal RNA
Source: RNAcentral
CAUGCUAGUUGUGCGGGUUUAGACCCGCAGCGGAAAGCUCAGUAACACGUGGGCCAAGCUACCCUGUGGACGGGAAUACUCUCGGGAAACUGAGGCUAAUCCCCCGAUAACGCUUUGCUCCUGGAAGGGGGCAAAGCCGGAAACGCUCCGGCGCCACAGGAUGCGGCUGCGGUCGAUUAGGUAGACGGUGGGGUAACGGCCCACCGUGCCCAUAAUCGGUACGGGUUGUGAGAGCAAGAGCCCGGAGACGGAAUCUGAGACAAGAUUCCGGGCCCUACGGGGCGCAGCAGGCGCGAAACCUUUACACUGUACGAAAGUGCGAUAAGGGGACUCCGAGUGUGAAGGCAUAGAGCCUUCACUUUUGUACACCGUAAGGUGGUGCACGAAUAAGGACUGGGCAAGACCAGUGCAAAAACGCCGCGGUAAUACCGGCAGUCCGAGUGAUGGCCGAUCUUAUUGGGCCUAAAGCGUCCGUAGCUGGCUGAACAAGUCCGUUGGGAAAUCUGUCCGCUUAACGGGCAGGCGUCCAGCGGAAACUGUUCAGCUUGGGACCGGAAGACCUGAGGGGUACGUCUGGGGUAGGAGUGAAAUCCUGUAAUCCUGGACGGACCGCCGGUGGCGAAAGCGCCUCAGGAGAACGGAUCCGACAGUGAGGGACGAAAGCUAGGGUCUCGAACCGGAUUAGAUACCCGGGUAGUCCUAGCUGUAAACGAUGU